UUACGGUUUGGCCGACGGUGGCCGAAGC
RNAcentral lists this small RNA (28 nucleotides) under Bombyx mori (domestic silkworm). RNAcentral describes it as "ovarian small RNA-36573". Lineage: Eukaryota; Metazoa; Arthropoda; Insecta; Lepidoptera; Bombycidae. The record is from RNAcentral.